RNAcentral lists this ribosomal RNA (300 nucleotides) under uncultured bacterium. RNAcentral's name for it is "bacterial SSU rRNA". It matches the Rfam family "Bacterial small subunit ribosomal RNA", at positions 334 to 651 of the family's 1533-position model. The record is from RNAcentral.
UAUUCCUACGGGGCGCAGCAGUGGGGGAUAUUGCACAAUGGAGGGAACUCUGAUGCAGCGACGCCGCGUGAGGGAAGAAGGUUUUCGGAUUGUAAACCUCUGUCUUCGGUGACGAAUCGAGACGGUAGCCGAGGAGGAAGCCACGGCUAACUACGUGCCAGCAGCCGCGGUAAUACGUAGGUGGCAAGCGUUGUCCGGAAUUACUGGGUGUAAAGGGAGCGUAGGCGGGAAAGCAAGUUGAAUGUUUAAGGAAUGGGCUCAACCUGUACAAGCGUUAAAAGCUGUUUUUCUUGAGUGGAG